Molecule: ribosomal RNA, 459 nt
Filed under: uncultured bacterium
Lineage: Bacteria
Description: partial 16S ribosomal RNA
Rfam family: Bacterial small subunit ribosomal RNA
Source: RNAcentral
CCUACGGGAGGCAGCAGUGAGGAAUAUUGGUCAAUGGGCGCGAGCCUGAACCAGCCAAGUCGCGUGAGGGAAGACGGUCCUAUGGAUUGUAAACCUCUUUUGUCGGGGAGCAAAAGACGCCACGCGUGGCGUUCCGAGAGUACCCGAAGAAAAAGCAUCGGCUAACUCCUUGCCAGCAGCCGCGGUAAUACGGAGGAUGCGAACGUUAUCCGGAUUUAUUGGGUUUAAAGGGUGCGCAGGCGGAAGAUCAAGUCAGCGGUAAAAUUGAGAGGCUCAACCUCUUCGAGCCGUUGAAACUGGUUUUCGUGAGUGAGUGAGAAGUAGGCGGAAUGCGUGGUGUAGCGGUGAAAUGCAUAGAGAUCACGCAGAACUCCGAUUGCGAAGGCAGCAUACCGGCGCUCAACUGACGCUCAUGCACGAAAGUGUGGGUAUCGAACAGGAUUAGAUACCCGGGUAGUC